AAAGGAGAUGCGUGUACGAUUAUUCACAGAAGCAUUGUUUAGCAUCAUUUAUGAGAGUGAAGAAGUCGAAGCAACUUAAAUAUCUAUCAGCAAAAAUAAUGGAAAACAGAAUUUAGUGUGGAUGUACGAGAGGCUGUCACAGAGGAGCGCUGUGUGUGCACAUUCACUCACUGGGCAACACGAAUGGACCGGGUCCCUGAGCGGAAGCCCAGCUGGGACCCCCGGGGCCAGAGGUGGCCCCGGAAGCAGGUCAUCAGAAGGGGCCCCUGGACUGACUCCCAUAUGGUCGAUCGCUGGGAUGCACACGGGGAAGCAGGAGGCUCUGCGGCAUCCAGACAGCACGUGAUGACGACUUCAACUGGGGAGGCGGCUGUGGAGACAGAAUAAUUUACUAGACAAGCAGAGACGGCUUUUGGGGCGAGAAGUGGCAGAAACUGAUGGUGGAGCAGAGAUUCCUGGAGGUAGAGACCGGGUCUGGAGAACAGAGCACAGUUUUAAUCACACAGCAGAUUCUUAAACCAAAGGAAGACUUGAGGAUAGAAUUAUUGUGCCGUGACUCUCUCGUGCGUCAUUCAUGAAUCUUAAUACUCUUCACCUCCUCCAUUGCCUAAUAAAAUAUUUCCUUGUAACUGUAAAGCAAGAAAUCAACAGAGUAACCAUCUACCACAGAAGAUUCAAGAAAUGUCAACCAGUCUACUGUCAGAUGUGAGGAUGGAUGCGGGAAGCAGAACACACAGGUGGGACGUGAUCGCUGUACCAUAACCACAGAGGGAAGAAAGUCUGCACUAUAGUCCUAAGACCUAAGAAAGGAGGAGACACAGCAAGAGAGAUUCUGGUUAACGCCCUGGCUGGAGCUGCCAUCUUUGACUGGAAGAAUUAGUUCAGACUCAGUUCUUUCUUUUUUUUUUUUUUUGGAGGAAGAUUAGCCCUGCACUAACAUCUGCCACCAAUCCUUUUUUUUUGCUGAGGAAGACUGGCUCUGAGCUAACAUCUGUGCCCAUCUUCCUCUACUUUAUAUGAGGGAUGCCUGCCUUAGCAUGACCUGACAAGCAGU
Molecule: long non-coding RNA, 1054 nt
Filed under: Equus caballus (horse)
Lineage: Eukaryota; Metazoa; Chordata; Mammalia; Perissodactyla; Equidae
Description: lncRNA (ENSECAG00000053822.1)
Source: RNAcentral